CGUUCUGUAAGCCUGUGAAGGUGUGUCGUGAGGCAUGCUGGAGGUAUCAGAAGUGCGAAUGCUGACAUAAGUAACGAUAAAGCGGGUGAAAAGCCCGCUCGCCGGAAGACCAAGGGUUCCUGUCCAACGUUAAUCGGGGCAGGGUGAGUCGACCCCUAAGGCGAGGCCGAAAGGCGUAGUCGAUGGGAAACGGGUUAAUAUUCCCGUACUUGGUGUUACUGCGAAGGGGGGACGGAGAAGGCUAUGUUGGCCGGGCGACGGUUGUCCCGGUUUAAGCGUGUAGGUGUGUGUUCCAGGUAAAUCCGGUUCACUUUAACACUGAGGCGUGACGACGAGGCACUACGGUGCUGAAGCAACAAAUGCCCUGCUUCCAGGAAAA
RNAcentral lists this ribosomal RNA (379 nucleotides) under Salmonella enterica. RNAcentral describes it as "partial 23S ribosomal RNA". It matches the Rfam family "Bacterial large subunit ribosomal RNA", at positions 1237 to 1616 of the family's 2925-position model. Lineage: Bacteria; Pseudomonadati; Pseudomonadota; Gammaproteobacteria; Enterobacterales; Enterobacteriaceae. The record is from RNAcentral. RNAcentral also lists the same sequence under 5 other names.